This 91-nucleotide transfer RNA is filed under the name Bacteroidota bacterium. RNAcentral describes it as "Bacteroidetes bacterium (sediment metagenome) tRNA-Ser". It matches the Rfam family "tRNA". Rfam says of the family: Transfer RNA (tRNA) molecules are approximately 80 nucleotides in length. Their secondary structure includes four short double-helical elements and three loops (D, anti-codon, and T loops). Lineage: Bacteria; Pseudomonadati; Bacteroidota. The record is from RNAcentral.
GGAGAGAUGGCCGAGUGGUCGAAGGCGCACGCCUGGAAAGUGUGUAACCGCCAAAAGCGGUUCGUGGGUUCGAAUCCCACUCUCUCCGCCA